UCCGGGGUAGUACAGAGGUAAGUAUCCCCGCCUGUCACGCGGGUGACCGGGGUUCGAUUCCCCGCCCUGGAGC
This 73-nucleotide transfer RNA is filed under the name Theileria annulata. Its description in RNAcentral is "Asp transfer RNA (gtc)". It matches the Rfam family "tRNA". From Rfam's summary of the family: Transfer RNA (tRNA) molecules are approximately 80 nucleotides in length. Lineage: Eukaryota; Apicomplexa; Aconoidasida; Piroplasmida; Theileriidae. The record is from RNAcentral.